AGAGUUUGAUCCUGGCUCAGGAUGAACGCUAGCGGCAGGCCUAACACAUGCAAGUCGAGGGGUAUCAGGAGAAAGCUUGCUUUUUUGCUGACGACCGGCGCACGGGUGCGUAACGCGUAUACAAUCUACCUUUUGCUGAGGGAUAGCCCAGAGAAAUUUGGAUUAAUACCUCAUAGUAUGAUAACUUGGCAUCGAGAAAUCAUUAAAGGUUACGGCAAGAGAUGAGUAUGCGUUCUAUUAGCUAGAUGGUGUGGUAACGGCACACCAUGGCAACGAUAGAUAGGGGCCCUGAGAGGGGGAUCCCCCACACUGGUACUGAGACACGGACCAGACUCCUACGGGAGGCAGCAGUGAGGAAUAUUGGGCAAUGGAGGCAACUCUGACCCAGCCAUGCCGCGUGCAGGAAGACUGCCCUAUGGGUUGUAAACUGCUUUUAUACAGGAAGAAACACCGCUACGUGUAGCGGCUUGACGGUACUGUAAGAAUAAGGAUCGGCUAACUCCGUGCCAGCAGCCGCGGUAACACGGAGGAUCCAAGCGUUAUCCGGAAUCAUUGGGUUUAAAGGGUCCGUAGGUGGAUAAUUAAGUCAGAGGUGAAAUCCUGCAGCUCAACUGUAGAAUUGCCUUUGAUACUGGUUAUCUUGAGUCAUUAUGAAGUGGUUAGAAUGUGUAGUGUAGCGGUGAAAUGCAUAGAUAUUACACAGAAUACCGAUUGCGAAGGCAGAUCACUAAUAAUGUACUGACACUGAUGGACGAAAGCGUGGGGAGCGAACAGGAUUAGAUACCCUGGUAGUCCACGCCGUAAACGAUGGUCACUAGCUGUUUGGACUUCGGUCUGAGUGGCUAAGCGAAAGUGAUAAGUGACCCACCUGGGGAGUACGUUCGCAAGAAUGAAACUCAAAGGAAUUGACGGGGGCCCGCACAAGCGGUGGAGCAUGUGGUUUAAUUCGAUGAUACGCGAGGAACCUUACCAGGGCUUAAAUGUAGAGUGACAGGUCUAGAGAUAGAUUUUUCUUCGACACUUUACAAGGUGCUGCAUGGUUGUCGUCAGCUCGUGCCGUGAGGUGUCAGGUUAAGUCCUAUAACGAGCGCAACCCCUGUUGUUAGUUGCCAGCGAGUCAAGUCGGGAACUCUAACAAGACUGCCGGUGCAAACCGUGAGGAAGGUGGGGAUGACGUCAAAUCAUCACGGCCCUUACGUCCUGGGCUACACACGUGCUACAAUGGUAGGUACAGAGAGCAGCCACUGCGUGAGCAGGAGCGAAUCUAUAAAACCUAUCACAGUUCGGAUCGGAGUCUGCAGCUCGACUCCGUGAAGCUGGAAUCGCUAGUAAUCGGAUAUCAGCCAUGAUCCGGUGAAUACGUUCCCGGGCCUC
Molecule: ribosomal RNA, 1374 nt
Filed under: metagenome
Description: bacterial SSU rRNA
Rfam family: Bacterial small subunit ribosomal RNA
Source: RNAcentral